UCCAAAAUGGCGGCGGAGCCGCGCGGGGCUCCCGCUCCUUCCCCCGCCCGGCACAGCAGGAAGGUGGCGGGGCCUGUCCCCGGCCACUGAGGCAGCAGCGCUUUAGCCAGAGCUCGUCCUGCAGCAAGAAGCUCCUCCGUGCCGGGGCAGGACGGGGGGCGCGUGUUAACACCGGGAAGCGAGCGGGGAGGCGCCUCAGUAAGGGCUGCUGGCCGGGCCUCCUGAGGGCUGGGAACGCCGGGCCCCGAGCCGGGGAUGCCGUGUGGGACUGCUCUGAGUUGUUGUGAAGGAGAAGCUGGUGUACAUGUCAGGAUAAACAUACUAAAUAGAAAAACAUGCUGGGCCAUAACAUGUGUACUCGGAAUCCUGUUGGAAUUCUUGGGAACAGUGAAUAGUUUUUGUUUUCUGUGAGUGCAUGUAAUUUUACAUAGAAUGGGAUUUUUGUUUUCUCAUGAUUGACAUGAGGGAUGGCAAUUUGUGUCACGUAUGCCUUUCCAUUAUCUUUUACUGUAUGUGUUCUUCACUCUUGAAAUGCCAAAUUAAUAUUUGAUAUGCCAGUUAUAAUUUGGCAGGGUUUAUCACAAACAACAAUAGAUGUUAUCUCUUUGUAUAAAUCAUAUGGCCUCCAACAUCAAAUGUAAGGUGGCUUAAGAGAGCCACACAAAUAACCCUGCAAAAUAGAAUUUCUUAUAAAUUUUCUAAUGGAUGAUAUGUACAGGUUUUGAAAAGUGCAGUGAGAGGAAUCCAGAUGGUGGGGUAGAGUAGAAAAGAUGGGUCACUCAUUUUGGUCAAACAAGGACUAUAGACACACAUCCCCCACCUCCCCCCAAAAAAGUCUGGUGCUUAAUCUGCUUAUAGGGCAGGCUGAUAACUAGAAUGAUGAGGCUGAUAACAAAAGAAACGUAAUGGGAAAAUGAUCCACUCAACAUGUAAUUAAUACCAGCAUCUGUCACCAUUUAAUGAAUGCUGCACUAAUCAGAGGAUUUUGUCAUGUUAGUAGAAUGUGGAGCCACUUCCCUGUCAGAGGCAGGAGUCACAUCCACCGUCACUGCGUGCAGUGUUCCACACAGGAUCUGCCUGGACAACACUCAGGGUGGCUCAGCUUCGUCAAAUGUGCAACUGCACAGUUGUGUCUUUGGGGAGAGCUCAGCAACUGCAUUCUCUAGCAAACAUAUACAGGACAUGCAGAUAGCAAACAGUGCAAGUAACCAGGCAAACAGUUCUGAUGGAUGUUCUUGUUCUUUACCCCUCACUGCUCCCAUUGUUUGGUGUUCGCCUCUACAUCUUCAAUCAGUUUCUGAUUAAAUCAAUACAUUCUGAACACAGCAUGUUACUUUGGAUACUGAGAACUAGAGUAUUUUCUUCAAAGACCCUUAUAAUUAAUUGUUUUAAUUGAAAAAAUAAAGUCGUUUUUCUGGCUUUUUAGUUUUAAGUAAAAAUUCUGAACCUACAGCACUUAAAUCUUUAAGAACAUUUUUUAAAAAAUUCUUUCUCAGUAAACAACUCAAUUCUAUGUCUGAUCCCUAUAAAUACUAAAUUUAAAAAAAAAACCACACAGCAAUAAAACCCAAACAAAAACUAACCAAACAAACAAACAAAAAAACCCCUCACACAUGUUAUCAUUUUCAAUAAAAUUUCAAUUUUAGGAGACAUAUUAAUAAGUGAUCACUGUAAUGAUCGUGGACUGGUUGAUUUUCAGUUAUGAGGACCUUUCAGGUUUUAUUAAACCUGCAAGGGUAGCUCCUCCAUUUGGUUAAAAAAAAUUAUAUUAUAAAGUUACCUAUUGAAUGCUGGCCUUGUUUUUAAGUCUUAAUGAUGACAUUUGACAUGUAACCUAUUUGAUUGACAGGAGAUGCCAUUUGAAGUGCUUAAGCCAGAUGGAUUGGAGGGGGGGAAUUAACAGAUGUUAUAAUAGUAAUUGAGCUGAAAUUAAUUUCACAUUAUGCAAAACAAUUUUUUUGAAAGAUGUCCUCUUUUAAGUAAAGAUCUGUGGGAGAUGAACCUUUUUCAGAAUUCUACUAUUUUAUUUGCAUUUGAAACCUCAAGGAUACCACACCAAUUAUUGCCUAUCUGGACCAAUUCUAUUUAAGUCUCUUCUUUGACUUUUCAAAGAGAGAAUUUGUGUUCUUAACAAACAAAACAGCACAGAGCUUUUUCUAGAGCAAGCUUAAAAAAAUUGUAUUUUUGUUAUGAACUAUUUGUAUGGAGGACUUUAUUGCAUGAAACUAGGAACUUCUUGUUGUUGCCUUAAAUUAGAAACCUUUCAAGCAUAGUUUGAUGAGCUCAGAAGGAAACCAUUUUGUCCCAGCUCAGGAAAUGCUCUGUUGUGCUUAAGAAGUGCAUUUCCAAAACAGUCAAACACAGUAUCACACAGUAUUAAGCAAUUAUUAUCAGCAGAAUGUUUGUUAAUCCUAAAAUACAUAGGGAAAUCUCCUUUGCCUUUUUGCUGUCUCUAAUUCAGACAUCCAGGUAAACAGCAGAGCUGCUUGGAAAAUGGAGACAGUUUCUCUGGGGAGCUAAUGCUGGACUGGAAAAACAGGAAUCCUGCUGUCAGGUAUUUCUGUGCAGAGCUCCACUAUUUGGUUCAGCAGUGCUGUGAUGGCGUGUGAUGGUUUGGACACCUCACAGCACCUCUCCCUUCUCCCAUGAUCCCACCUCGGGAUGGGUGCAGCUGCUCACUCUUACCCGUAAGGUUCUGGGGAAGAUCUGGGAAUUCUUCGGUCGUGCUGCAAAUUGGAAGAUGUGAUCCAGCACAAGAACCCAACUGACAUAGGAAAAUCUGGGCUUUUAACAACUGAAAUGUGAUUUCUGGUGUGUUGCCCUAGUAGUGCUGGCACUCCAGGGCUGUCCCUACUGGUGCAUCGAGAUUCCUCUCCAGAAGCAUCACACAGCAGUGUAAGUGGUGGGCUUUUUCCUCUCCAGAAGACUCAGUUCUCUCUUUUCUGAGGGGUGGUUGUUUUGGGGUUUUUUCUUCCCCACAAACGUUACUAAAUGCUUACCUCAUUUGAAAUUAGAAAUAUAACUGAUACUGAGUCCUUAAUUAGCUAUCUUGCUUGUAAGUUCAGUUGUUUGUGAGCCUAUGAUAAUUCUGUACUGUUGUGUGGACCUAUAAAAUUCUUUCUGAAGAAGUUGAGCUGUCCUUUGAAGAUGCAUUGAAAUAUUCUUGUAUCAAUUUCAAUUAAGGUGUGUUAAAGAUGAUAAAGUAAUCUUAGUUAAUUCUCUGUGAACAUUGUUUGCUGUGGUUUUUAAAAAAAUUCUGGUUUUUCUGUAUCAGUGGUGGCCUAGAGAUGUAUUUUUUUCUUCUGUCUCAGCUGGGUUUUGUCUCCUUAUAACUAGUCUUUCAUACACAGACAGCAGUAUCAUGCAGAAUUGCAAUGUUUAAGCUCCCAUUUUAAGUUUUAUGCAUGGUUUUAAUGUUUGUGGCUUUCUUCAAAACUACUGUGCUUGAUCUGGUCCUUCCUGCCAGUGAUGAUUUCCAGGUCACGACGGAGCGAUAGUUCCUCAAGGUGAGCAAUCACAACGACCUUCUGCUUCAUUAAAUCAACAUUUCCUGCUAUACCCAAGUGCUGCUCUCAUGUUCAUUAUUGUCAGUGCUUCCUCCAGAGAAAGAUUUAGUUAUGUUUUUCACCUGCCUUACUUUAGGUAGUACAUCCUUACCCAUGUUGUUCUCUCUCUUGGGGUUCUUCAGGAAUAAUUCUACUUUUGGGUUCCAAAGGUAAGUUUGUGUUCUUAUCUGUUGUCUUGUUUUCCUUUUUUCCACUUCAAGUUAGGAAAACAGUUAUUUCUUCUUUUCUGUUGCCUUUAUUAACCCAGAGCAAUUUACCUUAUUUCAUUUUCCAUUUACACAGUAGCAUUCAUGAUGAAGAACUUUCAGGUAUGUUUACUUGACUAGGCAUACCAUAUAUUUAUACUUUGUUCAUUUACCAAAAGUCAUUUAAGUGCACUCAGUAAAGUGUUCAAGGGAAGAAGGCAAAGCUAGAAAAAGAUCUCAGUGUGGGCAAGGCUAUGAAAGGUUUUAUCUGAAGAUGCAUUAGUGUAAUUUAAAAACUGCUUUUUUAAACAAACUUGCUGGUCUAAACUUUAUGGAUUCUUAUUGUAAAGAUUUGCUUGAUUUUGAUUGAGUGUAACUAAAUCAAUUUGUGUUAAACUGAAAUCAGCCUAAAUUAAACCAGAGUAAAAGUGCCGGCAGCUUUUGGAUGGACUUCACUAAAUAAGAUUAAAAUUGUGCAUGGGGUGCAACCAGUGGAAAUGUCAUUUGUUGGCUGAGACCUAAAUUACACAAAUUAUCUGGAGGAGGGUGGGAACUAGAAGAACAAACACUAGUGCACAGUAAAAUGAUCAAAAUGAUUUGUUGAAAAAGGCAAAAUAAUACUGUAGAAGCAGAAGCCUAAGAGAGUGUCUGAAGCCAGAGUUCUAAAUAACAUAAUGGGAUGAUAGUGAACAAUAGAGUGAAAGGAGGGACAACAGAUGGGCAUUGCAGGCCAGGGGAGCUGUGUAGCUGGAAAGCAGCAAAAAAGCAAGCAGAGACUUGUGACAGAAAAGGCAAUGUAUGUUUUUAAUAUAUGUGCACAUCAAAUUAUCAUGACAAAUGGUAAUGAAAGGAUUUCAGCAUUCACUAAGGUGGUGCUACAGCUGAGUUGUGCAACUGCUCCCUCCUCUGCAGUUUACAACGACACUGAAACCUAAAGGUAACAAAUAUUAAGUUUCAUGUAAAAUAAGUGAUUAAAAAUGGACUGGAAAAAAAAUCAACCAACUUUCCAGAGAGCAGGCUACCUGUAGUACUGAGCUGAGCACUGCUUGAGAAAAAGGGCCGUACUUAACACAGCUUUUCCUGCAACCUGGAAAUGUGGGCAGGAAUCAAGUAUAUCAGAAUGCCUGCACAUUGUGAGGGAUUCUUUAGUGUUCCUGUCUUCCAAUCUGAGCUGGAAUUAAAGCUGUAAAUAGACAGAAAGGGAACUUGAAAAACACACUGGUAGUGUUAGUCUGUUCUUAAAAAAUGUGAGGAGAUUUUAGGGGCCACUGCAAUAGGUGUUGCUCCCAAUUUAGAGUGAGGGGUGUCAAGUGUUGGAAGUGAGAUGCCCACAUAAGAAUAUAGGAAAACAGUUUCCAGCAGAUACUACAUUAGACUGGUUGCAGAUGUAUACAAAUCAGGAUGGUAAGAAGUAUCCAAGAAAGGAGCAGUGGGAUGAUUGAACUAAGAUUUCACCUGUAAUAAAAAGGAUUGCCAGUUAUAUGUACAUACCCCGCUAAAAGAGGUGCAGAUUCCCUAAAAAUUACUUUGCACUGCUGCACUUGAGGACUUUUUGUACACACAGUGGGGAGUCUGACUGUUCAGUUGUUUGGGUUUUUUUACUCUAAGAAAGAGGAAAAAAACACACACCAAAAAAAUCCACAAAACACCUAACCAACCAGCCAAACAAAAAAACCACCCAAAAAUCAAAGCAGAAGAAACUUAAAGCACAGACUAGACCUGAAAUUGUAACAAGACCUUGAAACUGAAUUAAGGAGGACAAAACUAAAAGAAAUGGUUUUAAGUGAAACCUGUCAGUGUGUUAUCCAUCUAGAAAGGAAUGUUAUGCCUUGCACUUGGCUUGCAUCCUUUGUUCUGUUAAGUAGUGGAAUAAUCUCUUUGUGGCGGUCUUAUCUAGGUCUGCCUGUUUAAUCACAUUAAUAAAUGGCAAGUAUCAUGCUCAUAAUUGAAGACUCUGAUCCUCAAGAGUAAUAUUUUAUUCCCUCUGAUAGCGUUGCUUCCCCCUCAGCACAUCCCCUCCCUUCUGCACUGUGUGUCUCUGAUCUGUGCACGAGGCUGUAGGAAGGUAGAUGUUACCUUCCAAAGCACCUGUGCUGUUGGCAGCUGGGAGAAACAGCUUCAACUGCUUUUUUUCCCCCCUUGUUUUCUUGACUUGUUAUUUAUUCCCUCUCCCACCUGCAAAGUCUAGCAAAACCAAUGAGGAAAGAUAUUAAAAUAGGAAGAAACCAGGUAUGUAACUGAGAAAAGGGAGGAGACCAUGGCAAGGCAGCAGAUUUUGUGCUCAAAUAUAACUACUGCAUUCCCCAAAGGAAAAGACAAUUAUUUUUUCCCCAGCUUUUAUUCCAUCUUCCUCCUGUAUUUUACUAACAUGUUUUUCAGAUGCUUUAAGUGGAAGCCUUUGGUAGUCAUGCACACAGAGCUAAUCCCUUAAGUGGGUUGAUGCUUCAGAGUGUCAGUGAAGUGGGGGGAAAAUUAGCAACUUCGUAGUUGCUACAUACGAAAUUUUGGAAUUGAGGUAUUUCUUUUCUUCUUCAUACACCUGAAAUAUUUGUUAAAAGCAACUCACAGAACAGUUUGCCUUGACCCCAGGAAGUUGUUUUUCUUUCCUUACAGCUGUACUCUGCUACAGUUCACUCUUGUGUUUUGGCUUGCUAACUAAAUUGUUUUAACCUCUUGCUAUGUAUUAAUAGUAAUUUUUUUUUUUUAUCCAAACCCAGAGCAGACACGGAGAAGGGAGGGUUUGCAUGAUGACUGUUGUGGCCCUACAAACUUCCAAGUACACACUGGUUUGAGAGAAUGUUUUUUUUUCUCGGAGAACAGUUUAUUUAGCACAGCUUUUUAGGUUUUACACUUGAGGCAUAUCUGGAAGGGACAUCCCUUAGAAGGAUGAAAAAUGGACUAUGUCUAAUAAAUGCCAGAGAUGUAUUUUUUCUUCUCAUGAGUGCACAUCAGAAGAAAACUAUUGUCCUCUAGAGAUGUAAUCCUAUCAGUAUAGACAAAAUAGUAGUUUGUAUAAUUUCCUGUACUGUAGCAAAUGCAAACAUAGACUUUCAUAUCAAUUGUCAAAUGAAUUAGGACAUUGAAAGCCCUACCUUAAAUUUGAAAAGAAAGGUAAUAAAUUGCCAGAAGAACAAAAUGCUUCCAAUUUCACAGACAUAGCAGGCUAGUACCUAUUUGAUUUCAUAUUGUACAUGCCUGAAAUAAGGAAUGAGACCCGGGCAUGGCUUUAGUUUCAUUUCAGUUUGGUGGACUCUUGCACUCAGAUGUGUUUCAUUUUUUGUGCUUACUCUUAUAAAGUUGUCCUUCAGAGACUUCUGAGAGCCCUAAUAAACGAAGGCUUCAUUAACUGCAACCAUUUUACCUUCUUUUCCAAGGAAACAGGUCAAAACCUGUCAGCAGUUUCAAGGUACACACCACCCUCCCCCCCAAAACCAGUGCCGCCCCUUCUGCCAGGUUGCAUUUCCCAGUGUUCACAUCCUUGCAUAUUAACCCAAUCAAGAGUUCUCAAAAUAAUCUCCUUUGGCCAGUCAAAUAUUUUCCUUACCAAGAAUCUAACUGGUUUUGGAGGCAGGAGAGAAAAAACACCUUACACACAAUACAGAGUCGCCUCUUUUUGGUGGAAAGUGAGUGAAAUUUUAAGGUACUUUCCCUUUUUGAAGUGACCUUGAAGCCAAAGCUUCAUUUGCUUGCAAAAAUGAGCAUAGCUUUAGUCUAAGCCUAAAGGUUUCUCUUGUCCCACUCAAGUUUUCCUUUAUUCCUUACACAGGCAAAGCUGUAGUGUGGCUGUAGCUGCAACUGUGUGAAAAAUUUGCUAUAAAGUGAAAAACCAGUACUGUAGUAUCGAUAUCUCAAUUAGCUGUGACUGUAUUAGAGUAAGAGUAGAAAAACCUGUGCCAGGAGGGGUGCUUCUUCAGAAAUAAAAUUGCAUCUACACUGACAGGGACUGGAAAGAUGAAGGAAGCAGCUAAGCUGGUAGUUUUCACUGAAAAUUAAUUUCAGAAUUUAAAAAUAUCUGUCUUGUGAAGGCAUCUGAUUUCAUGGCAUGGAAGUUGAGCCUCAGUUUACAAAUUCUUAGGCAACAGAUCAGCAAAUACUGGCCUCAAGCAACCAAUUAGCUCAAAAAUAUUUAGGUAUACAGAUCAUGACUUUACAAACAUCUGUGUUAUAGUUAUCUCCUUUAAGAUAUUUCAAUAUGCUGGUAUUUAAUCCACUUGCAUUUUGUAUAGAGUUAUGUGAGGGUGAAAUGGACAAUUUCUAUACCAAGGUACAUGAAAAUGGAUUGGUUUAAAACCAAUAGAUUCAUUUGAAAUUGUAGUAAAAAUGCAACAAUGUUGUGCAAGAGAAAAUGAGAUAAAAUGAGGACAGAAGCAUUUGAAUACUGUCAAUUUUAAAAUCAAAUUUUUGUGGUCUCCUCCACUCUACAAAAUCCAGCCAAAAGCAGAGAUUUAUUUUUUUUUAAUCUAUGGAAAAUUAAUAGAAUAUGAGAUAAAAUAGUCUGGGAGAAGGGAUUUAGAGAUAAAUCACUAAGACUAAUAGAGAACGUGACUUUUUUUUUCAGUAGAAGACACAGUGGCCCCUUCACUGCACGGGGAAAUGAGAGCUUGGACUGCAGUGACAAACCCAAGGGUGAAAACAAAGCCUGGGGAUUUGGGCCAUUCACCUGGGACACAGGAAAAUGUUUGCCUCCAGAUCUCCUGAGUCUCAACAACACUAUUUUCUAGAUUCUGGAGCCACCUUCCUUCUCCAGUGAAGGUUUAGCUAUUUCAAGGAGAACAAUUUCAGGGGACAAUUAAUCUCCAUAUAACCUGUAAUCCGAGGAACUAUAUUUUGAGUUUCUGCAGCUGAGUCAAGAUUGAAAUCCUAAAAAUGUGUAUUGGGGAAGGAGGAAGUUCCUUGUAUGUUCCUUGUGUAGAGAGUUUCACAAUUCACACCGUCGGUCUUGACCUUCCCCCAGAGGUUUCUCCUUAGACAACGUGAGUCUGUCCUGUGACACUUGUCUUUACUCAUAUAACAUCCAAAAUAGAUUAAAUUAAGGCAAGGGUGAGUCCAGCAUCCUUAACAGAUGUCUCACCAUAUGACAAAUUUCAAAUAUUAUUUUCUCAUACCAUGUAAAUAGUAACUGCUUCUGGUAGUUUACAGCCCAGAUUAAUUUUGACAGUCGGUACUUACUACAUAGAUCCUUUUUUGCUGAUUUUCACUUAAAUAAUUUGGUUGUUUUAUUUGUUUAAAAUUUCCUAUGGCUUUUUACCUGAAGCCUUGUGUGGUUGCUGCUGUUUAGAUUUGGUUUUUGCUCGUCCUUUCCUCUUCUUUUUUCAUGAAGAAAUGCCAGUGGAAUAAGCAACGUGGCAGUGAAUUGCUUUAACACUUGCACCUCCAAAUAACAUCGAGAAUGGAAUGUGUCCAUGGUAACCAGGAUGCAUUUACAACACUUUCCAUUCCUCAUCUUUUUAAUCUAUGCAAAUAAUAUAGGUACUACAAAAUCUCUGCGUUAUUUUUAUUCGAAAUCACCACGUGCGAAGAAAUUAUGGAGAAAAUUGCAGACUGUCCUGGGUAUUUGUACAUAAGGAAGUUUUUAAUGGAAUAGUGCUACUGACAGGUUGUUCCCCUGUAAAUCAAAGAAUAAUGUUUAGAAAAAUCACAGUGGUGUUCCACAAAAUCACUUGAAUAUUUUACUUUUCCUGUGCCUCUGCAUGUUGGCCUGAUCUUUCCGUUUGGCAGAUACUUCCACUGCAGUUUGCUUCCUGCUCUAACAAUUAAGAGGAGGUAAAAUUAUAGAAAUAUGUAUUGCUGUCAUUUUUUAAAAAUUACUGUUAAAAGGCUUUGGAAUUUGUAUUUGCACACAAUACUCCAAGAAAGUAAAUUUUUAUAGCCAUGUUAAAACAUCCGUUGUAAUGCACAGGAGUGUUCAAUUUGUAGAGUGUUGACUUAGUGCUUCAUUUUACAGUUUGUUGGAUUGUAUAAAGAUAAAAAUCUUAUUCAAGAGUCUGUGGACACAUCUGCCCACUCCAGUGCUUGGAUUAAAUACGUUUGGUGCACUCACA
Molecule: long non-coding RNA, 9792 nt
Organism: Myiozetetes cayanensis
Lineage: Eukaryota; Metazoa; Chordata; Aves; Passeriformes; Tyrannidae
Exons: 2
Source: RefSeq, a predicted model, not a curated record